GGUCAGUUGUAAAAAUGCAGUUCAACUCCAGAGAGGAUUUGACUGACUCUUCAGUAGAAGAAAAUAUUCUGAAACUGUUAGAAUCUGCUCUAGCUGAUGGAGGAUUCACGAACUUGACACUAAGUUGGUUUCAAUCCCCUAAACGGGUAGAGAUGCGGAAGACCAACACUACUAGUUAUUGUGGCAAAGGAAAAUAAUACAGUGCUAAAAAUAAACAAGGAAAUCAGUCUUUGACUUUAAAGAUGAUUCGGACUAAAUGUAAUGAAGUGAAAUUUCUUCAUAAUGCUGUGUUUAUGAUGUAAUUUCUGUUUAUUA
Long non-coding RNA from Puntigrus tetrazona (Sumatra barb), 315 nucleotides. RefSeq lists it as uncharacterized. The record is from RefSeq and is a predicted model, not a curated record. Lineage: Eukaryota; Metazoa; Chordata; Actinopteri; Cypriniformes; Cyprinidae. The transcript is spliced from 3 exons.